GAUGAACGCUGGCGGCGCGCCUAACACAUGCAAGUCGAACGGCACCUAUCUUCGGAUAGAAGCGAGUGGCGAACGGCUGAGUAACACGUGGAGAACCUGCCCCCUCCCCCGGGAUAGCCGCCCGAAAGGACGGGUAAUACCGGAUACCCCGGGGUGCCGCAUGGCACCCCGGCUAAAGCCCCGACGGGAGGGGAUGGCUCCGCGGCCCAUCAGGUAGACGGCGGGGUGACGGCCCACCGUGCCGACAACGGGUAGCCGGGUUGAGAGACCGACCGGCCAGAUUGGGACUGAGACACGGCCCAUACUCCUACGGGAGGCAGCAAUGGGGAAUCUUGCGCAGUGGGGGGAACCCCGACGCAGCGACGCCGCGUGCGGGACGGAGGCCUUCGGGUCGUAAACCGCUUCCAGCAGGGAAGAGUCAAGACUGUACCUGCAGCAAAAUCCCCGGCUAACUACGUGCCCGCAGCCGCGGUAAUACGUAUGGGGCGAGCGCUAUCCGGAUUCAUUGGGCGUAAGCGCGCGUAGGCGGCCCGGCAGGCCGGGGGUCGAAGCGGGGGGCUUUCCCCCCGAAGCCCCCGGAACCUCCGCGGCUUGGGUCCGGUUGGGGAGGGUGGAACACCCGGUGUAGCGGUGGAAUGCGCAGAUAUCGGGUGGAACACCGGUGGCGAAGGCGGCCCUCUGGGCCGAGACCGACGCUGAGGCGCGAAAGCUGGGGGAGCGAACAGGAUUAGAUACCCUGGUAGUCCCAGCCGUAAACGAUGGACGCUAGGUGUGGGGGGACGAUCCCCCCGUGCCGCAGCCAACGCAUUAAGCGUCCCGCCUGGGGAGUACGGCCGCAAGGCUAAAACUCAAAGGAAUUGACGGGGGCCCGCACAAGCAGCGGAGCAUGUGGCUUAAUUCGAAGCAACGCGAAGAACCUUACCAGGGCUUGACAUAUGGGUGAAGCGGGGGAGACCCCGUGGCCGAGAGGAGCCCAUACAGGUGGUGCAUGGCUGUCGUCAGCUCGUGUCGUGAGAUGUUGGGUUAAGUCCCGCAACGAGCGCAACCCCCGCCGCGUGUUGCCAUCGGGUGAUGCCGGGGACCCACGCGGGACCGCCGCCGUCAAGGCGGAGGAGGGCGGGGACGACGUCAAGUCAUCAUGCCCCUUAUGCCCUGGGCUGCACACGUGCUACAAUGGCCGGUACAGAGGGAUGCCACCCCGCGAGGGGGAGCGGAUCCCGGAAAGCCGGCCCCAGUUCGGAUUGGGGGCUGCAACCCGCCCCCAUGAAGUCGGAGUUGCUAGUAAUCGCGGAUCAGCAUGCCGCGGUGAAUGCGUUCCCGGGCCU
Molecule: ribosomal RNA, 1325 nt
Filed under: uncultured bacterium
Lineage: Bacteria
Description: bacterial SSU rRNA
Rfam family: Bacterial small subunit ribosomal RNA
Source: RNAcentral